UACGUAGGGUGCAGGCGUUAAUCGGAAUUACUGGGCGUAAAGCGUGCGCAGGCGGUUUGCUAAGACCGAUGUGAAAUCCCCGGGCUUAACCUGGGAACUGCAUUGGUGACUGGCAGGCUAGAGUAUGGCAGAGGGGGGUAGAAUUCCACGUGUAGCAGUGAAAUGCGUAGAGAUGUGGAGGAAUACCGAUGGCGAAGGCAGCCCCCUGGGCCAAUACUGACGCUCAUGCACGAAAGCGUGGGGAGCAAACAGG
RNAcentral lists this ribosomal RNA (253 nucleotides) under uncultured bacterium. Its description in RNAcentral is "partial 16S ribosomal RNA". It matches the Rfam family "Bacterial small subunit ribosomal RNA", at positions 524 to 776 of the family's 1533-position model. The record is from RNAcentral.